UGAAACUGGCGGCGUGCUUAACAACAAUGCAGUCGAACGAGAACGGGUCUUAGCUUGCUAAAGACUGUCAGCUAAGUGGCGCACGGGUGAGUAAUGUAUAGAUAACGUGCCUACUUACAAGGUGAAUAACAGUUGGAAACGACUGCUAAUGCCCUAUAUGCCUUUAGAACAAAAGUUCGCAAGGGAAAGUUUUUUCGGUAAGAGAUCGGUCUGUAUGGUAUCAGCUAGUUGGUGAGGUAAUGGCUCACCAAUGCAAUGACGCCUAACUGGUUUGAGAGGAUGAUCAGUCACACUGGAACUGAGACACGGUCCAGACCUCCUACGGGAGGCAGCAGUGGGGAAUAUUGCACAAUGGGGCGAAAGCCUGAUGCAGCAACGCCGCGUGGAGGAUGACACAUUUCCGGUGCGUAAAACUCCCUUUUAUAUAUGAAGACUAUGACGGUCAUAUUAUGAAUAAGCGCCCGGCUAACUCCGUGACAAGCAGGCUGCGGGAAUACCGAGGGCGCGAAGCGUAACCCGGAAUCACUUGGGCGUAAGAGCGGUAGGCGGGUCAUAAGUUGGAGUGAAAUCUAUGUGUCAACCCUAGAACUGGUUCCCAAAAUGUUUACUACGAAAUGUGAGCCGUCGAUGGAACUCCUGGUGUAGGGUAAAACCCGAAAGAUCAAAGGAUACCGAUUGGAGGGGACUAAUGAACAUAAUGACGUGAAACCAAAGGUGGGGACAAAAUGUUAAUCCUGUUAGCACGCCUACGAUGUACUAU
This 760-nucleotide ribosomal RNA is filed under the name uncultured Arcobacter sp. Its description in RNAcentral is "bacterial SSU rRNA". It matches the Rfam family "Bacterial small subunit ribosomal RNA", at positions 31 to 810 of the family's 1533-position model. The record is from RNAcentral. Lineage: Bacteria; Pseudomonadati; Campylobacterota; Epsilonproteobacteria; Campylobacterales; Arcobacteraceae.